UACGGAGGAGGCAAGCGUUAUUCGGAAUUACUGGGCGUAAAGCGUCCGCAGGUGGCGAUUCAAGUCUGCGGUCAAAGACUGGGGCUUAACCCUGGAAAGGCCGUGGAAACUGAAUAGCUAGAGUGCAGUAGGGGUAGAGGGAAUUCCCGGUGUAGCGGUGAAAUGCGUAGAGCUCGGGAAGAACAUCGGUGGCGAAAGCGCUCUGCUGGACUGCAACUGACACUCAGGGACGAAAGCUAGGGGAGCGAAUGGG
RNAcentral lists this ribosomal RNA (253 nucleotides) under uncultured bacterium. Its description in RNAcentral is "partial 16S ribosomal RNA". It matches the Rfam family "Bacterial small subunit ribosomal RNA", at positions 524 to 776 of the family's 1533-position model. The record is from RNAcentral.